Molecule: ribosomal RNA, 497 nt
Filed under: uncultured bacterium
Lineage: Bacteria
Description: partial 16S ribosomal RNA
Rfam family: Bacterial small subunit ribosomal RNA
Source: RNAcentral
GAUGAACGCUGGCGGCGUGCCUAAUACAUGCAAGUCGAGCGAACGGACGAGAAGCUUGCUUCUCUGAUGUUAGCGGCGGACGGGUGAGUAACACGUGGAUAACCUACCUAUAAGACUGGGAUAACUUCGGGAAACCGGAGCUAAUACCGGAUAAUAUUUUGAACCGCAUGGUUCAAAAGUGAAAGACGGUCUUGCUGUCACUUAUAGAUGGAUCUGCGCUGCAUUAGCUAGUUGGUAAGGUAACGGCUUACCAAGGCAACGAUGCAUAGCCGACCUGAGAGGGUGAUCGGCCACACUGGAACUGAGACACGGUCCAGACUCCUACGGGAGGCAGCAGUAGGGAAUCUUCCGCAAUGGGCGAAAGACUGACGGAGCAACGCCGCGUGAGUGAUGAAGGUCUUCGGAUCGUAAAACUCUGUUAUUAGGGAAGAACAUAUGUGUAAGUAACUGUGCACAUCUUGACGGUACCUAAUCAGAAGGCCACGGCUAACUACGUG